GUCGGAUCCAGAGAAGCUGGUGGAAUAUGAGCUGGUGGCGACUGAGAGGAAGGUGGUGUAGUCACAAUGUCACGGUUCUGAAGAAGCUGCUGGUACUUUGAUCGUAACUGUGAUGGUAAGACCAUUCCUCGGAUCGCUGGCUGCUGAGUGGAAUACGAUGGAUCUGGAUCGAUGGCUGCUGGUACUUUUCUUUUUUUCUUAGACAAUCCCAGUGCCAUGAGAAUACCUGCAAUAUCUAGUCAAAUGAAAUCAGUGUCAAGAUUUUAAACUAAAUCAAC
RNAcentral lists this long non-coding RNA (278 nucleotides) under Elaeis guineensis (African oil palm). RNAcentral describes it as "long non-coding RNA (EGUI_LNC051998)". Lineage: Eukaryota; Viridiplantae; Streptophyta; Magnoliopsida; Arecales; Arecaceae. The record is from RNAcentral.